Molecule: ribosomal RNA, 427 nt
Filed under: uncultured bacterium
Lineage: Bacteria
Description: bacterial SSU rRNA
Rfam family: Bacterial small subunit ribosomal RNA
Source: RNAcentral
UGGGGAAUUUUGGACAAUGGGCGAAAGCCUGAUCCAGCAAUGCCGCGUGCAGGAUGAAGGCCUUCGGGUUGUAAACCGCUUUUGUCAGGGAAGAAACGGUCUGGGCUAAUACCCCGGACUAAUGACGGUACCUGAAGAAUAAGCACCGGCUAACUACGUGCCAGCAGCCGCGGUAAUACGUAGGGUGCAAGCGUUAAUCGGAAUUACUGGGCGUAAAGCGUGCGCAGGCGGUUAUGCAAGACAGAUGUGAAAUCCCCGGGCUUAACCUGGGAACUGCAUUUGUGACUGCAUAGCUAGAGUACGGUAGAGGGAGGUGGAAUUCCGCGUGUAGCAGUGAAAUGCGUAGAUAUGCGGAGGAACACCGAUGGCGAAGGCAGCCUCCUGGGCCAGUACUGACGCUCAUGCACGAAAGCGUGGGGAGCAAACA